RNAcentral lists this ribosomal RNA (304 nucleotides) under uncultured bacterium. Its description in RNAcentral is "partial 16S ribosomal RNA". It matches the Rfam family "Bacterial small subunit ribosomal RNA", at positions 506 to 807 of the family's 1533-position model. The record is from RNAcentral.
CAGCAGCCGCCGCGGGAAUACGGAGGGAGCUAGCGUUGUUCGGAAUUACUGGGCGUAAAGCGCACGUAGGCGGUUAUUCAAGUCAGAGGUGAAAGCCCGGGGCUCAACCCCGGAACUGCCUUUGAAACUAGAUGACUAGAAUCUUGGAGAGGUCAGUGGAAUUCCGAGUGUAGAGGUGAAAUUCGUAGAUAUUCGGAAGAACACCAGUGGCGAAGGCGACUGACUGGACAAGUAUUGACGCUGAGGUGCGAAAGCGUGGGGAGCGAACAGGAUUAGAUACCCCGGUAGUCCCUGUCUCUUAUAC